RNAcentral lists this ribosomal RNA (497 nucleotides) under uncultured bacterium. Its description in RNAcentral is "partial 16S ribosomal RNA". It matches the Rfam family "Bacterial small subunit ribosomal RNA", at positions 28 to 507 of the family's 1533-position model. The record is from RNAcentral.
GGUGAACGCUGGCGGCGUGCCUAAUACAUGCAAGUCGAGCGAACAGACGAGGAGCUUGCUCCUCUGUCGUUAGCCGCGGACGGGUGAGACACACGUGUAUAACCUACUUAUCAUACUGGUAUAACUUCGGGACUCCGGCGCUUAUCCCGGAUAAUAUAUUGAUCCGCAUGGUUCAAUAGUGAAAUUCGGUUUUGCUGUCACUUAUAGAUGGAUCCGCGCCGCAUUAGCUAGUUGGUAAGGUAACGGCUUACCAAGGCAACGAGGCGUAGCCGACCUGAGAGGGUGAUCGGCCACACGGGAGCGGAGACACGGUCAAGACUCCUACGAGAGGCAGCAGUAGGGAAUGGGCCGCAAUGGGCGAAAGCUUGACGGAGCAAGGCCGCGUGAGGGAUGAAGGUCUUGGGAUCGUAAAACUCUGUUAUGAGGGAAGAACAAAUGUGUAAGUAACUAUGCACGUCUUGACGGUACCUGGUCAGAAAGCCACGGCUAACUACGUG